RNAcentral lists this transfer RNA (73 nucleotides) under Sporolactobacillus sp. THM7-4. Its description in RNAcentral is "tRNA-Ala". It matches the Rfam family "tRNA". From Rfam's summary of the family: Transfer RNA (tRNA) molecules are approximately 80 nucleotides in length. Their secondary structure includes four short double-helical elements and three loops (D, anti-codon, and T loops). The record is from RNAcentral. Lineage: Bacteria; Bacillati; Bacillota; Bacilli; Caryophanales; Sporolactobacillaceae.
GGGGCAUUAGCUCAGCUGGGAGAGCGUUGCGUUCGCAUCGCAGAGGUCAGGGGUUCGAUCCCCCUAUGCUCCA